Molecule: ribosomal RNA, 486 nt
Filed under: uncultured Gammaproteobacteria bacterium
Lineage: Bacteria; Pseudomonadati; Pseudomonadota; Gammaproteobacteria
Description: bacterial SSU rRNA
Rfam family: Bacterial small subunit ribosomal RNA
Source: RNAcentral
GCUCAGAUUGAACGCUGGCGGCAGGCUUAACACAUGCAAGUCGAGCGGUAACAGAGAGUAGCUUGCUACUUUGCUGACGAGCGGCGGACGGGUGAGUAAUGCUUGGGAAUAUGCCUUAUGGUGGGGGACAACAGUUGGAAACGACUGCUAAUACCGCAUAACGUCUACGGACCAAAGGGGGGGAUUCUUCGGAACCUCUCGCCAUUUGAUUAGCCCAAGUGAGAUUAGCUAGUAGGUGAGGUAAGAGCUCACCUAGGCGACGAUCUCUAGCUGGUUUGAGAGGAUGAUCAGCCACACUGGGACUGAGACACGGCCCAGACUCCUACGGGAGGCAGCAGUGGGGAAUAUUGCACAAUGGGCGAAAGCCUGAUGCAGCCAUGCCGCGUGUGUGAAGAAGGCCUUCGGGUUGUAAAGCACUUUCAGUUGUGAGGAAAGGUGGUAGUUUAAUAUGCUAUCACUGUGACGUUAACAACAGAAGAAGCACCG